GCUGUAGCUCAAUGGUAGAGCAUUUGCUUUGCAUGCAGAAGGUCCCAGGUUCAAGUCCCAGCAUCUGCA
Molecule: non-coding RNA, 69 nt
Organism: Podarcis lilfordi (Lilford's wall lizard)
Lineage: Eukaryota; Metazoa; Chordata; Lepidosauria; Squamata; Lacertidae
Source: the annotation of a GenBank genome assembly